RNAcentral lists this unclassified non-coding RNA (895 nucleotides) under Hevea brasiliensis (rubber tree). Lineage: Eukaryota; Viridiplantae; Streptophyta; Magnoliopsida; Malpighiales; Euphorbiaceae. The record is from RNAcentral.
GAAUCUCCAUUUCUCUCACCUCUCAGCUCUUGAUUACAAUUACUACAGUAAGUGGAGUGAAUCUGUUGAAGAAUGUGGAAGUUGAAAGUAGCAGAAGGAGGGAGUCCAUGGCUGCGGACGACGAACAAUCAUGUAGGUAGGGAAGUAUGGGAGUUUGAAGCAGACUUUGGAUCUCCAGAAGAUCGGGCGCAGAUCGAAAAGUUUCGUGAACACUUCACCAAACAUCGUUUGGAGCAAAAACACAGUGCUGAUCUCCUUAUGCGUUAUCAGUUGUCAAAGGAGAACCAAGGAAUUAGUAUCUUGCCACAAGUCAAAAUUAAUGACAAUGAAGUUAUUACAGAAGAUAAUGUAGCUACCACACUGAGAAGAGCGCUAAGUUUUUAUUCCACUCUACAAAAUAAUGACGGUCACUGGGCUGGAGAUUAUGGAGGCCCGAUGUUUCUAAUGCCUGGCAUGAUUAUUGCUCUAUCUAUUACGGGGGCACUCAAUGCAGUAUUCUCAAGUGAACAUAAACGUGAGAUGAUUCGAUAUCUUUAUAACCAUCAGAAUAGUGAUGGUGGGUGGGGUUUGCAUAUUGAGAGCCACAGCACCAUGUUUGGUUCUGCUUUGAGCUAUGUUACUCUGAGAUUGCUUGGGGAAGGAGCUAAUGAUGGAGAUGGGGCCAUGGAAAAGGGCCGUAAAUGGAUUCUAGAUCAUGGUAGUGCCACAGCCAUUACAUCAUGGGGGAAAAUGUGGCUCUCAGUGCUUGGAGUAUUUGACUGGUCUGGGAACAACCCACUUCCUCCUGAAAUAUGGCUUCUUCCCUAUAUCCUUCCCAUCCAUCCUGGAAGAAUGUGGUGCCAUUGCCGGAUGGUUUAUCUUCCUAUGUGCUACCUUUAUGGUAAACGCUUUGUUG